RNAcentral lists this ribosomal RNA (465 nucleotides) under uncultured bacterium. RNAcentral's name for it is "partial 16S ribosomal RNA". It matches the Rfam family "Bacterial small subunit ribosomal RNA", at positions 28 to 507 of the family's 1533-position model. The record is from RNAcentral.
GACGAACGCUGGCGGCGUGCUUAACACAUGCAAGUCGAGCGGAAAGGCCCUGCUUGCAGGGUACUCGAGUGGCGAACGGGUGAGUAACACGUGGGUGAUCUGCCCUGCACUUCGGGAUAAGCCUGGGAAACUGGGUCUAAUACCGGAUAGGAGCCAUUUUUAGUGUGAUGGUUGGAAAGUUUUUUCGGUGUAGGAUGAGCUCGCGGCCUAUCAGCUUGUUGGUGGGGUAAUGGCCUACCAAGGCGGCGACGGGUAGCCGGCCUGAGAGGGUGGACGGCCACAUUGGGACUGAGAUACGGCCCAGACUCCUACGGGAGGCAGCAGUGGGGAAUAUUGCACAAUGGGCGCAAGCCUGAUGCAGCGACGCCGCGGGGGGGAUGACGGCCUUCGGGUUGUAAACUCCUUUCGCUAGGGACGAAGCUUUUUGUGACGGUACCUAGAUAAGAAGCACCGGCUAACUACGUG